ACAGUGGACGCGAGCAUCUUGUUUUUUGUGGUUAAGUUGUCAAGGGCGAACGGUGGAU
Molecule: ribosomal RNA, 58 nt
Filed under: Actinoplanes awajinensis subsp. mycoplanecinus
Lineage: Bacteria; Bacillati; Actinomycetota; Actinomycetes; Micromonosporales; Micromonosporaceae
Description: partial 23S ribosomal RNA
Source: RNAcentral